AAUUGAUGGAGACAGCAGGUGACUCAGGAUUUCCACUUUUACUCAACAAUAAGCAUCCUGUUAGUUUUUUAGAAGAUGAACUAACACAAUAUUUGCUUCUUUGUUGAGUAAACUACAUAUUCUUUUCAAAACAGGCGUGAUUCUAUUUUCCUACUGUGUCCUAUGUAUUUAUUGACUUGAUUUCAACCCAUAUACAAGGAAGCGGAGUUCCACAAUCAUAAAAGGAAUGGUGUUAACUAACUGAAGCAAAAGAACAUGAACAGAAGAACUGG
Long non-coding RNA from Hibiscus syriacus, 272 nucleotides. RefSeq lists it as uncharacterized. Lineage: Eukaryota; Viridiplantae; Streptophyta; Magnoliopsida; Malvales; Malvaceae. The transcript is spliced from 2 exons. The record is from RefSeq and is a predicted model, not a curated record.